GCCGCUAUCGUCUAGUGGUUAGGACACUAGGUUCUCAUCCUAGAAACCCGGGUUCGAUUCCCGGCAGCGGUA
Molecule: transfer RNA, 72 nt
Filed under: bacterium
Lineage: Bacteria
Description: tRNA-Glu
Rfam family: tRNA
About the family: Transfer RNA (tRNA) molecules are approximately 80 nucleotides in length. Their secondary structure includes four short double-helical elements and three loops (D, anti-codon, and T loops).
Source: RNAcentral